UACAGCGGUCUCAACCGUUGUUCGGAUUCAUUGGGCGUAAAGGGUGCGUAGGCGGUCGCGUAAGUCGGAUGUGAAAUCCCAGGGCUCAACCCUGGAACUGCAUUCGAUACUGCGUGGCUAGGGUACUGGAGAGGAGACUGGAAUUUACGGUGUAGCAGUGAAAUGCGUAGAUAUCGUAAGGAAGACCAGUGGCGAAGGCGAGUCUCUGGACAGUUACCGACGCUGAGGCACGAAGGUCAGGGGAGCAAACGGG
This 253-nucleotide ribosomal RNA is filed under the name uncultured bacterium. Its description in RNAcentral is "partial 16S ribosomal RNA". It matches the Rfam family "Bacterial small subunit ribosomal RNA", at positions 524 to 776 of the family's 1533-position model. The record is from RNAcentral.